RNAcentral lists this ribosomal RNA (424 nucleotides) under uncultured prokaryote. Its description in RNAcentral is "bacterial SSU rRNA". It matches the Rfam family "Bacterial small subunit ribosomal RNA", at positions 355 to 796 of the family's 1533-position model. The record is from RNAcentral.
UGGGGAAUCUUGGACAAUGGGCGAAAGCCUGAUCCAGCCAUGCCGCGUGAGUGAUGAAGGCCCUAGGGUUGUAAAGCUCUUUCGACGGGGAAGAUAAUGACUGUACCCGUAGAAGAAGCCCCGGCUAACUCCGUGCCAGCAGCCGCGGUGAUACGGAGGGGGCAAGCGUUGUUCGGAAUUACUGGGCGUAAAGCGCGCGUAGGCGGACAAUUAAGUCGGGGGUGAAAGCCCGGGGCCCAACCCCGGAACUGCCUCCGAUACUGGUUGUCUUGAGAUCAGAAGAGGGUCGUGGAAUUCCUAGUGUAGAGGUGAAAUUCAUAGAUAUUAGGAAGAACACCGGUGGCGAAGGCGGCGACCUGGUCUGUAUCUGACGCUGAGGUGCGAAAGCGUGGGGAGCAAACAGGAUUAGAUACCCGCGUAGUCC